AUGACGACGAUGCCGCCACCAUCACGAAUCUCUACGGCAGGCUAUGACCGUGGCUGUGGCGCGAGGAGCGACGAGCUCCGCAAGGGCAUGCCCUGGAGCGAGGAGGAGCACAGAGUCGUCUGCUUCGCAGGAUGGUGCUACACUGAUCCUCAAGACCACAAAUUUAUGCAAUUUCCUUUUUUCUUUAUCAUGUGGAUGUCAACAAAAAGGGACCCGUGGUAUAUUGUCAUGUGCCAGAUUCAAUUGUUUGCGUUGAAGUUGUUUGGAUUCACCGGGAGGAAGCGGUCAGUCGUUUUUGUCCACACCUAA
RNAcentral lists this ribosomal RNA (309 nucleotides) under Triticum aestivum (bread wheat). RNAcentral's name for it is "partial small subunit ribosomal RNA". The record is from RNAcentral. Lineage: Eukaryota; Viridiplantae; Streptophyta; Magnoliopsida; Poales; Poaceae.